AGUUCUCGGAGCCGUCGGUUGAUUGGCUCGUGGAAAGUGGGGGCGUGGUCUCGGGCUUUAACUUGUGGCGCCCGCUCCGAAGCCCAAGAUCAGUUUGGAACGCGGCGCCUGGCUGAACUGUCCCGUGUCCCCCGGACCUUCUAGGAACUCACCUCCAUCCCCAUGGCUUCGCAAGGCGUGGACCCGAGAGGGCUGGGAGAUGAUGAGCUACACUGCCUCCUCAGAGAGCUGGAUGAAGUGAUUGAAGACUUUGAUAAUGGCAGCAGCAGCAGCUGUCACUAUGAGGAACAUCUGGAGGAGCUCAAGCAAAGGAAUGGCCUUGGCCUUGGCGUCUAUGACAGUGGCAUCGAUGAAGCUGAGAGUACCAACCCAUCUCCAGGGAGCAGCUUAAACACCAGCGAGGAAAACAUUCACAUGCCAGCAACUUCUUCCGUUCCCAAAGGUGAGAGCAAACAAUUUCCAAAUCUGAGGUAGGAAGGUGACAGGUGGCGGGAGCAUGUAUAAGGUCCUCGAUUUCUGAGGAAAGUAGGACGGUGGACUCUGAGGGAUUGGGCACGACCCAGAGAAGGGCCCUGGGAGACCCUGGAGACCAUUUCCAAAAGUGCGGAAGGCAUGGGCUGCUUUGGCCACAAAGGCCAGUAACCACAGCAGGCCUCAGGAAGGUGACCGUCAGCCAAGCAGCAAACCUUUGCUCCACACUGCUGUGUUCCCUCGCCUCAUGUACCGAGCUACCAAGUGGGAGGCCUCCUGGAACUGGAAAGGUACAGGGGAGAAUAGCUCUGACCAUCAGCCACCCAAAGAAGAAGCAAAGAGAGGCAGAAGGACACGCAUCAGUCAGUUCCUGACCAGGCACUAAGGGAGCCCUGGGGUGUUGGGGACCGCUCUACCCUGGUAGAUAGCAAGGGCUUCAAAAGCAAACCUUUCUUUGGAGCUCCUUUUGGAAAAGGAGCUUGGGUCUGAGGGCUGGGGGCAGGGGUGCAAUUCUGAUCACCAAGACGAGUCCUGAGGCACCCUCUCUCUUACAAGCUAUAGCGCUAAUGCCGAAAUCCUGAGGUCGUGUCCUUUUAGACAUUUUUAAGCCCCUUAACCUGAAGUAUGAUCUGGGAGCCUGUGUUCAGGCCAGUCGUUCUUGUUUUGGUAGCUAAGCUUGGAGACACGAAGGACCUGGAGGAUUACAUUGCUGACCUCGACAAAGAGCUGGAGGGUGAGUCCAUUCAUCAGACUUUAUCCUGGAGAUGCUAGAGAAAUACCAGCCUGAACAUGGGAUGGCUCCAGCCCCUGGCUGGAUCUGCCAAUGACUUGGAAAGAGGAUUGUGGCUGCAGAGUCCUGAACCAAGUUCAUUUCAAUCUAACAGGCUCCUGACCCCAUGUCUCCACUCAGCAUAGCCAGCCUAGGGCUCACCUGGACCAUUGCCCUGGCCUCCUAAAGGGUCUCCCUACAUGCCUCUCCCUUCUCAAAGCCAUCUGCCAUAUGGCCUCCAAAGGAAUUUCCCUAAAAUGCAGGCCUACCCACGCCACUCCUCUGUUCAGGAAGCUCAGAGGUAAAGCAGGCUAAAGGCGGCACAAGGCCCAUGGCCCAGAGCUGAAAGCCCCCAAAAGAACCCUGCCUCCCUGGCCCCUGCCAAAGACAGACCAGGAAGGCCCAAAGGCCCAGUGGCCACAACUGGAGGCUUCCUAGAUGGUGUGCCUCAUGUUGGGUCUUGGGCCUUCCCAGUUCUCUCUUGCGGCUAAGCCUCCAUUUGGGAAGAGGAAAAGAACUGGCAGCUUGUGAUUAUUUGAGGUAGAACUUGCCUCUUUCUUGCCCUUAAAUAAGAUUUGGUUCCUUAAGGAUCCUUCCUCUGAUCCCCGGGAGAAUGCCUAGGAGAGAAGGGAACCCAAAUGCUCAGCACCCUGGCGCUGCCCACAGUUCAGUCCUUGUGUCACACCAUAAAACACUUCAGCGAGACUAUAGACAACCUUUAUGUAGCACAUGGGAUUUCUUGAAGGGUUUCCUUGCCUUUGCAUUCAGCAAAAGUCUCCCCUGUGGCACUGCACCAAAGACGACUUGGAUUUCCAUGUCAGCUGGUUCAGGAUUUCAGAGGUUGAACCCACUCUCUCAUUUUCUUUUUUCAGAAAUGUGAGCCACAGCCCUUGGGCACCUGGUGGAGGCCCCCAAGGAGUACUGCUGUAGCCGUGCCUGCCUGUGUAUACGCCCCAUGGUUCUCUCUUUGUGGCCUUCCUCAGAAGGCCGGAGGCCAAAACCUCAGGGCCAAGGAUCGGACGGGGCCACUCACUGGGAAUCAUCCCCAGGACCUGUUGCUCAAUUAUGUUAUCCGAUAAUGUUGCUGUGUCUGUAGUGCGCUAGCUGUUGUUUAGCCUUUGCCGCAUUCUUGUAGCCAAUAGUGUUAAGGCUGUGUCUGUACUGCUUGGGUCAAUCUGGCUGCCCUGGAAGACAUAGCGCCAAUGUUGGGGUCUAGGAUUUCAUUCCAAGUCUAGAAGUUCCCACCAAUGAUGCAGAUCCACCAUUUACUGCAGCUUCAAGUCUUGGAGAGUCACCUGGAGUGCCGAGAGUUGGUGACUUGUCCAGGAUCCCACAAUUAGUCUGUGCCAGAGGUGGCAUUUGGAGCCUCAGUCCUCCUUGCCCUCUAUCCACUAUGCCACAUUUCUAGCUUCAGUAACUGGACCGAUAGCUUUGUAGUCCUCUUCCUUGGCUGUCUUCUCAACUGCAUUGCCUUGACCCUCCUGAAAACCAAGUGAUGUCUGGCCAAUUAGCUGGUCUGAGCAUCUGUCUCCUAGAGCACUGUAAUGCUAACUUGCUUGCUGCCAGAAGAGGGAACAUUCGCCUGGAGCUUAGCUUUCAUAGUGCCCUCUUAAGGAUGAGCAGGAAUCUCCCAGCCAUGAGCCCAAAUUGUCUUCCCUUAUUAUCUCGAUUUGGCAAAGGUCUAUGAGUUCAUCGACAUGGACCUUCCUUCUUAGUGACCCCUUAUGGACUUCGUGGCUGGGCGGCCAGAGCUAGGCAUUGCCUUCCCCCUGUAGCUAACCUGGUUCUGAGCAGCAUCUCGUGUCCUUAGCCAUGCUGGUCUUUUGACAACAAGCAUCCAGUCAGGGAUGGAGCUCGAGUUUGAUGGUUGGUAGAAGUAGCCCAAGCCUUCAGGAACCCAGAAGCAGCAUCCUGACAGAACCAGGCACCAGAAGCCUUUGCAAAAUCAGGUGCUAUUGGGCCCCAUUGCAAUUUAGAGCCCUUAAAGGCCUUGCUAUCACUUGGGGUCACAGCGUAUUUAGAAAUUGGGGUAAGUGAACAUGAAGCCCUCCCCACUCCCACUUUUUGCCCCUUUGCCCAUGGCCUACGACUGGCCAAGAGGCUCCUGCAGCUCUAUGAUGAGAGAACAGGAAAAGAGUUUUGCAGGGAAGGCAGUAGAACUCUAACCCAACUGGAGGGAAGCGGGGUGAGGUGUUGCGCAGUGAGGGAGCCCUGUGAGAGAGAUCACAGCCUCUAACAGACAAGAUGGCCCCUCCUGAUGGCAGGUAACAGCUUCUGCCUCAGGCACACACACAAGCCACAAGGAGCCUCCCUGAUGUCCCUGAGCCAAGAGCGAGCUGUCGACCGCCAUUUCCUAAAGUCAGGCCUGCCGAUGCUUCUCACUCUCCAUGCCCCUUGGGCACUAGUGUAAAUGUUGUAUGAUACAGUGAAUAUUCCAUAUGAGUUAGCAUACACAAAAUGAAAUAAACGCUUCGUGAAGGAUGAGCCCUCGGACCUU
This 3737-nucleotide long non-coding RNA is filed under the name Monodelphis domestica (gray short-tailed opossum). RNAcentral describes it as "lncRNA (ENSMODG00000051122.1)". The record is from RNAcentral. Lineage: Eukaryota; Metazoa; Chordata; Mammalia; Didelphimorphia; Didelphidae.